This 73-nucleotide transfer RNA is filed under the name Ailuropoda melanoleuca (giant panda). It matches the Rfam family "tRNA". Rfam says of the family: Transfer RNA (tRNA) molecules are approximately 80 nucleotides in length. Their secondary structure includes four short double-helical elements and three loops (D, anti-codon, and T loops). Further hydrogen bonds mediate the characteristic L-shaped molecular structure. tRNAs have two regions of fundamental functional importance: the anti-codon, which is responsible for specific mRNA codon recognition, and the 3' end, to which the tRNAs corresponding amino acid is attached (by aminoacyl-tRNA synthetases). tRNAs cope with the degeneracy of the genetic code in two manners: having more than one tRNA (with a specific anti-codon) for a particular amino acid; and 'wobble' base-pairing, i.e. permitting non-standard base-pairing at the 3rd anti-codon position. Lineage: Eukaryota; Metazoa; Chordata; Mammalia; Carnivora; Ursidae. The record is from Rfam by way of RNAcentral.
GCCUGGCUGGCUCAGUCGGAAGAGCAUGUGAUUCCUGAUCUAGGGGUUGUGAGUUCAAGCCUCACGUUGGGUG